GUGCCAGCCGCCGCGGUAAUACGGAGGGUGCGAGCGUUAAUCGGAAUUACUGGGCGUAAAGCGUACGCAGGCGGUUUGUUAAGCGAGAUGUGAAAGCCCCGGGCUCAACCUGGGAACUGCAUUUCGAACUGGCAAACUAGAGUGUGAUAGAGGGUGGUAGAAUUUCAGGUGUAGCGGUGAAAUGCGUAGAGAUCUGAAGGAAUACCGAUGGCGAAGGCAGCCACCUGGGUCAACACUGACGCUCAUGUACGAAAGCGUGGGGAGCAAACAGGAUUAGAAACCCGGGUAGUCC
Molecule: ribosomal RNA, 292 nt
Filed under: uncultured bacterium
Lineage: Bacteria
Description: partial 16S ribosomal RNA
Rfam family: Bacterial small subunit ribosomal RNA
Source: RNAcentral